GACGAACGCUGGCGGCGUGCUUAACACAUGCAAGUCGAACGGAAAGGCCCUGCUUUUGUGGGGUGCUCGAGUGGCGAACGGGUGAGUAACACGUGAGUAACCUGCCCUUGACUUUGGGAUAACUUCAGGAAACUGGGGCUAAUACCGGAUAGGAGCUCCUGCUGCAUGGUGGGGGUUGGAAAGUUUCGGCGGUUGGGGAUGGACUCGCGGCUUAUCAGCUUGUUGGUGGGGUAGUGGCUUACCAAGGCUUUGACGGUUAGCCGGCCUGAGAGGGUGACCGGCCACAUUGGGACUGAGAUACGGCCCAGACUCCUACGGGAGGCAGCAGUGGGGAAUAUUGCACAAUGGGCGGAAGCCUGAUGCAGCAACGCCGCGUGCGGGAUGACGGCCUUCGGGUUGUAAACCGCUUGCGCCUGUGACGAAGCGUGAGUGACGGUAAUGGGUAAAGAAGCACCGGCUAACUACGUG
RNAcentral lists this ribosomal RNA (468 nucleotides) under uncultured bacterium. RNAcentral describes it as "partial 16S ribosomal RNA". It matches the Rfam family "Bacterial small subunit ribosomal RNA", at positions 28 to 507 of the family's 1533-position model. The record is from RNAcentral.